GUUGUAGCUCAGUGGUAGAGCAUUCGCCUAGCAUGGGCGAGACACUGGGUUUAAUCCUCAGCACAACA
This 68-nucleotide transfer RNA is filed under the name Marmota monax (woodchuck). RNAcentral describes it as "tRNA.Ala". The record is from RNAcentral. Lineage: Eukaryota; Metazoa; Chordata; Mammalia; Rodentia; Sciuridae.